Molecule: transfer RNA, 72 nt
Filed under: Bos taurus (domestic cattle)
Lineage: Eukaryota; Metazoa; Chordata; Mammalia; Artiodactyla; Bovidae
Also listed under: 2 other names
Rfam family: tRNA
About the family: Transfer RNA (tRNA) molecules are approximately 80 nucleotides in length. Their secondary structure includes four short double-helical elements and three loops (D, anti-codon, and T loops).
Source: Rfam by way of RNAcentral
UCCCUGGUGGAUCAGUUAGGACUCGGUGCAUUCACAAUGCAGAGAGCCCAGGUUCAAUCCCUGGUCAGGGAA